UAGUUCGGGAUAGCCACUGGAAACGGUGAUUAAUACCGGAUACUCCUUCUUGUUAUAAGACAAGUCGGGAAAGUUUUUCGCUAAGGGAUCAGUCUAUGUUCCAUCAGCUUGUUGGUGAGGUAAUGGCUCACCAAGGCUAUGACGGAUAUCUGGUUUGAGAGGAUGAUCAGACACACUGGAACUGAGACACGGUCCAGACUCCUACGGGAGGCAGCAGUGAGGAAUAUUGCACAAUGGAGGAAACUCUGAUGCAGCAACGCCGCGUGGAGGAUGACGCAUUUCGGUGUGUAAUCUCCUUUUAUUAGGGAAGAUAAUGACGGUACCUAAUGAAUAAGCACCGGCUAACUCCGUGCCAGCAGCCGCGGUAAUACGGAGGGUGCAAGCGUUACUCGGAAUCACUGGGCGUAAAGGGUGCGUAGGCUGGCUUUUAAGUCAGAUGUGAAAUCCAAUGGCUCAACCAUUGAACUGCAUUUGAAACUGAAAGCCUAGAGUUCAGAAGGGGCAGAUGGAAUUAGUGGUGUAGGGGUAAAAUCCGUAGAUAUCACUAGGAAUAUCAAAAGCGAAGGCGAUCUGCUGGGAUGAUACUGACGCUGA
RNAcentral lists this ribosomal RNA (594 nucleotides) under uncultured bacterium. Its description in RNAcentral is "bacterial SSU rRNA". It matches the Rfam family "Bacterial small subunit ribosomal RNA", at positions 134 to 749 of the family's 1533-position model. The record is from RNAcentral.